CGGUGCUUACUGGCGUGUCGCGGGACGUCCUGCCGGUGGAUGCGGCUCCGGCAACGGGGCGGUCCAGACUAAUCCCAUGGCGAUGCUCUUCACCGGGUGUCGUUGUGGGCCGGCACGUUUACUUUGAACAAAUUAGAGUGCUCAAAGCAGGCCGAUUUCGCCUGAAUACUGUGUGCAUGGAAUAAUGGAAUAGGACCUCGGUUCUAUUUUGUUGGUUUUCGGAACCCCGAGGUAAUGAUUAAUAGGAACGGAUGGGGGCAUUCGUAUUGCGACGUUAGAGGUGAAAUUCUUGGAUCGUCGCAAGACGAACAGAAGCGAAAGCAUUUGCCAAAAACGCUUUCAUUGAUCAAGAACGAAAGUUAGAGGUUCGAAGGCGAUCAGAUACCGCCCUAGUUCUAACCAUAAACGAUGCCAGCUAGCGAUCCGCCGAUGUUCCUUAGAUGACUCGGCGGGCAGCUUCCGGGAAACCAAAGCAUUUGGGUUCCGGGGGAAGUAUGGUUGCAAAGCUGAAACUUAAAGGAAUUGACGGAAGGGCACCACCAGGAGUGGAGCCUGCGGCUUAAUUUGACUCAACACGGGAAACCUCACCAGGCCCGGACACCGGAAGGAUUGACAGAUUGAGAGCUCUUUCUUGAUUCGGUGGGUGGUGGUGCAUGGCCGUUCUUAGUUGGUGGAGCGAUUUGUCUGGUUAAUUCCGAUAACGAACGAGACUCUAGCCUACUAAAUAAUACACGGAAUUUUAUCUUCCGCGGUAUUUCUUAGUGGGAUCAAGCGUGUUUAACGC
RNAcentral lists this ribosomal RNA (784 nucleotides) under uncultured eukaryote. RNAcentral's name for it is "bacterial SSU rRNA". It matches the Rfam family "Eukaryotic small subunit ribosomal RNA", at positions 713 to 1436 of the family's 1831-position model. The record is from RNAcentral.